CUCCCUGGCGGCGAGCGGCGGACGGGUGAGUAACGCGUAGGAAUCUGCCCAGUAGUGGGGGGACAACCCGGGGAAACCCGGGCUAAUACCGCAUACGCCCUACGGGGGAAAGCGGGGGAUCUUCGGACCUCGCGCUAUUGGAUGAGCCUGCGUCGGAUUAGCUUGUUGGUAGGGUAACGGCCUACCAAGGCGACGAUCCGUAGCUGGUCUGAGAGGACGAUCAGCCACACUGGGACUGAGACACGGCCCAG
This 251-nucleotide ribosomal RNA is filed under the name uncultured bacterium. Its description in RNAcentral is "partial 16S ribosomal RNA". It matches the Rfam family "Bacterial small subunit ribosomal RNA", at positions 81 to 334 of the family's 1533-position model. The record is from RNAcentral.